CCAACCCAACACGGGGUGUGGAGCUUCUAGGGGUGAGUGAGGGGGUCGGAAAGCUGGGGUUCCUUCUUGAACUUUUGAGGAAAAGUGAUUUUUUUUAAAAUUUAAACAUGUUAGACUUUUAGCUCAAAUAGAAAAAGAAAUGAGAAAUUUUCUGUUCACGGGGGCUUCCUUGAAUUUCAUGGCCUGGGUGGGUUAGCCUUGAUCCUGUUUACCCGUUUCUGUCUCUACUGGAGGAAAAUUCCAGAAGCCAGAAUUAGUAGUAUUCAAUUUAGCACAUCCCCUGGUGCUGGGAAAUGCCAGAUCUUGUGCCCUUCUGUUCUUUAGAGGGCUUAAAAAGCCCUACUAUGAAACGUGCAUGGGGGGUGUGUGUGUGUGUGGAAGGGUUUGUGGUUGUGGCAAAUAACUAGAAAAUACUGUUGCAGGAGGAGGUCACGGAGAGGACAUGACCCUGGGUUUACUUGCCAGCUGCCUGGGGCAAUCAGACCCCCUCAGGGGCUUCCCACCCCCUCCCCUGUGCUUGGCACGUACUUUCCGCUCGCCUUCCCAGCUGCAACCUGUUUCAAGUGCACAGCCUUGAGACCACCUGGAUGGGACACGUGACUGAACCCACGCGAGACUUCUAUAAAGACCGUAAGGUUGGGGCUGGUAGAUAUGGAGGUCUGUUUCGCUCAUGGGCGCAGGGAAGAGCUUGGUCGGAGCAGAACCUGAAUCAGAGUCUGGACUUUGGCAUCUGAGUAGAGGCCCAGGUAACUCAAGAGGAGACGAGUAUAAAUUCCGAAUUCAGUUGGUGCAAGCUGCUGCCCGGAGCGGACAGGAAGGCUCCCUGUUGUGUGUCUGUGAGGCCAUCUAAAAGCACACAUGUGUGCAUCAGUCCAGGAGAGAAGACUGAAUUGCAAUGGCUGGAACCAUGGAUGAGAGAAGCACGCUCAUCAGUAAAUGUGCAUGGAACACUCUCGGGUGGCAGUCCUGUGCUGCUGGGACUUCUAGGAUAGGCAGCCUGGGCUGGCUUUCCCAGGUGUAUUUUGCUGUCAAGGUUACUAACAAGUUACCUUAAACGUUCUCAGCCUCAGUUUCCUUAUUUGUAAAUGUGAAGAUUAGUAACACCUACAGGCUUGUUGUGAAGAUUACAUGAAAUCUCAUGUUUACUGAGCCCUGCUACAUUUCAGAAACCUGUAUUAGCUCGAUUGAUUGCCCCAACAUAUCCUCCAAGGUUGAUCUUCUCCCUCUUUUUCCAGUUGGGGGCUCAGAGAUGUUGAGUAAUUCAUCUGAGCUCACACAGGGAGUAUCAUGGCAGGCAGUCUGACCCUAGGGCACAUGAUUUCACACUCCACUGCUUGUUACCAAACUUCUGGGCAUUGUUAGUGUUCCACAAAUGUUACUGUUCCCUUCUCCUGUUUGCAACAUGUUUUUCUGAAUACCAACUUUAUUAGUGGGUUGGAUAAAGAUAGAAGAGGCAGGUUUCAUAGGAGAAUUUGUGUAUCUUUUGGAUAUUAGUCAAAUUAGGACAGGCUGAAGUGAGGGGCAGCACCUAAUUGGAUAAGCUAGGGAUAUUAUGUCCUACUCUUAGAUACUAAAAACCACUAGAGAGAGGCAGGAAGGAACUAAUACUUACAUAGAUACCUACAUAUAUAUAAACUCAUGUGUGUGUAUAUAUGUAUAAAAUUCACAUAUAUGUAUAAUUCACAUUGAUAAAUGUGAAUUAGCUGUAUACCUAGGUUAUGGUAACUGGGUUACAGAGGGACCCUGCAAGUCAUGAGUUGACGGUCUAUUGUCCUCAGCUCUACAAGGCUGUGAGAGCCCCAUCCAGUUGACAGGCAGUUCACUAUCCAGUUUCUCAAAUGCUUGUACAUUCACCAACAGUUUUUGUUUUUGAAAAUCCAAAGUAAUAAACUCAAAGAUAUCAUCUGACGUGGAUUUUGAAGUUUCCUUGCUCUGGCUGAUUUGCUGGCAGAUGAGAUAAUGCACAUUAAAAUGGCAGCCACAGCAGCACCAACAAGCUCCUGGCACGUCCCAAGCUCUUGAGUGAAUGUUUUACAUGCCUUACUUAAUUCAGUGCUCACGACAACCUAAUUGAGGUCCUUGUCCUCUUUUAUAGAUGAGGACAUGGACUCAGAGGGAUGAUCUAAUUUACCCAAGGGUCCUAAAAGGAAUUAGAAUUUAAAAGGCAUCACAUCCAUAAAGGGGUGUUUCAGAAAGAACUGGCUGACUGAGGGCUGCCUUGAAUGAUCCACGGACUGGCUAUUGGGAUCCUGGAGAGGAGAAGGCUGGCUCCCCUGGGAACAUAAGUGCCUGGUGUGGCCAAGGCCCUGGCAACUGCUUUACAAAGUGUUUGAGUGGAUCUCCAUGCAUCUUGGCACAUACCCUUGCUGUCUGAGAUAGAUUUUCUAUCCCAAAGUGUGACAGUUUCCCCUAAGUGUUCCUGUCACUGGCUCAGUGAUAAAAAGGGUGAUUUCCAUAGUUUUUCUGGCAUGUAGAGAAUGAGAUAGUGUCACAUGUAAUGAAGCUCAGAAAGGCCAUAAUAUCCUAAGCUUCUGCCUCAUCAUUCUUUCAGUUCAUCUAAGCAAGUUCAGACCUGCUCCCAUUUUGCAUUUAUCAGAACAUAACGGGGAGGUGAAAAUUCAGUUCUUGUAGUUUAGCACGUUGCCCUGAAUCUUGCCAAUAAAGCUUAAAGGACCCCAAGAAUCAUAGCAUGCUGGGUCCUCUCCCCAUUUAGCCAUAAACCCUGAGCUACUUUUUUCUAAUCAAAUUGUAAAAAGUCUUUUUUUUUAUUUUUUUUCUCUCGGCCCUGAUGCACUUGUGCAAUUCUUGGGGCUUAUGCUUGAGGUAGAAGGAGAAUUCAGGUUUGCCUGUCAAAUCCCCCCUAUUCUGGAGUCCCUGGGGUGCACUCUGCUGCUUACCAUCUCCUGUAACCUUGGUAUAUUCCCCAGGUUUGGUCACCAACUUAUUUUUUGAUCUUGUGCAAAAUUACCGUUGAAAGGUUAAGUUAACAUUCUUGGGUAUGUGUUUUGCCAUAGGAAGAUCAGGCAAUUCAUUCCUUCGACAGAGAUGGUUCUUCACUUUCUGUGCAUUGGGUGAUUUGGGGCCAAACACCAGAGAUAACGCUGGUGAGCAAGUUCACAUGCAGCCCCUGCCUUCUCAGGGUGGGAAUCUCCUAGACCAAAGGGUUUGGACUAGGCAGUCCCCAGUGCUUGCCAGGCCUCGAGGUGCAUUAACUCCUUUCCACCCUGCAACGCGUGCAUUAUAAUCUCCUUUUAAGAGCAGAGAGGGUCAGGUGCCGAGGUGGUAGGUUACUUUCCCAGCCUCCCACAGCAAAUAAGCUCCAGAACUGGAACUGAGAUUUGGUUCCAAAGCCCACUGGUUCUCCAGCCUCUCCUCUGCUAGCUUAAGGGGAAGGGAACUAAUAUUUACUGAAUGCCUCUUAAGUCACAGUCAACACCCCUGAAAGAGGGAUCGUGCCCUCCAUUGUGUGAAUGUGGGACCUCAGAUUGAGAAAUUCUCAGGGGUUUGCUCAGCCUCCCAGAUAAUGGAGGCAGGUUGAGAGGGCACUUGGGCCUGCUCUAUUUCCAGAACUCGCCGCUGGGCCUCUGCUCCCUUUGUUCCCCGGAUCUGUGAAAGAGUUCACCAUACAUCAUACUCCAAGCUGCCUGCUUCUACCGUCUUCCUUGGUCUCAGCCAUCCACCCCAGAAACCUGAUAUAUUCUGAUUUGGCUGACUGCCUCUCUUCCCAACCAGCACAAACUGAGAUCUCCUCAUAAGCAACAGCAUCCUACCUGGAGAGAAGCACAUGACACUGUCCAGAUUUCCUGUCAUCGGCUUCAAGCUCUUGAUGGCAUUCCUGACUCGGAUCAGUUACUCAUCACCAAGACAACUGUGUCCAGGAUCCAGGUCAACCUCAAUAUUCAAGAGACUGAGCAAGCAGAUGCUUAGGGUCAAGGAGGAGCAGCAACCCUAUCAGAAAAGGGGGGGACAGUUCAGUUUUAAUAAAUUUACCUGUAACUUUGCAAUUAUAAAGUCUAGAGAAAAAUGUCUUUUAAUCCAGCCUGUACAUAAAGGUAAUGCCAUUUUGAAAAAUAAAUUUUCUUUUGACUACCCUAUGAGGAGAAUUGGACCAUCACCAUUCAUUCUCUCAGAGUCUUCUGUGGCUCUGGCCUGGGCUUAGCUCAGAACCAGCCAAUUUUCCCCAGGAUCUGUCCUGCCUGGGCAGGCCGUAUAUCAGGAACUGGCCCUCACUGCCACUCCCCUCUGCUCCCAGCAUGUGAUCCUGUGACCAGCUGCCUCCUGCCUGAGUCUCUAGCUUUGUUAUUUACUAGAUAUUUUUCCUAUUUUUCCCACACUGCAAUUAACAUCUAGAAAGGCAGAGAUCCCUAUGCAUAAAGCUUUGAACCAUCACCUGAAAAUACACCCAGCUGUUUCUAUACUGGAGUUUAAGAACAUUUAGCUAAUUACCGUCCUCAGGAAGAGAAAGCUUCCUAAUGGAAGCAGCAAGGUCUUUUCUGCCUUACAGUGGGAGCCAGUCACCAACAGAUAAAUAGGAGUUAUGUUACACCCCUCCCCAUUUAUGCCUUCACAGGGGAGGGUGUCAUAAAGUGCUGCCUCGGCAGGCCUAAUACUAUGAUGUGUAUUUUGACAAAGAUGCUUUUUCAGAGCCAUGAAAGUAAAAGCACCAUAAAAUCAGAAGGAAGCAGAGUAUAAAUUGAAUCUGAAUGAGUCCCAGCUCAGCUUUGCUAUUGCACCUUGGCGAAAAUGGCCUGACUCCUCUGUCCCCUCCAGCUGCUUCAGUGGCUGGACUUCCAGGAGCCUAAUGACACACAAUGGUCACUUGGGUUGCAUUGGCCUGGAGGGCCUGGGAAUGGAGAGGAGGGAGGGAGACAGGCCUGGUCCUAGCAAUGUGAAUACACAGAAGGUCUUGGAAGUGUGUGUGCAUGUUCAUGGAUACGUGUGUGUGCGUGUGUCUGUCUCUUGGGGUUAAUGUGCUGAUGCUUGGCCGGAAAGCAGUUCAUGGUUCCUGGCUCCUAUGUUCUGAUAGGUGGCUGCCCACUCUUUUUACAAGGCAUUGCUGAGAGCAGGCUUGCCCUCAUUAAUCACAGUAAUAGCAAUAAGUAGGCAAUUAAGUUCUCUCAAGGAUGCAUGUAAGAUUCCUUGGCUUUAGCAAAGCUGUACUAGUUGGUGGAGUUAAUGGCAAGGAGCUGGAGCUGUGAGUCUGGGUCAAGGCUCAUUUUCAGGUUCAGAGAGAUAAUGACAGUCGUAGAAUUGUCUAGUUUUCUCAGCGCAGGGAGGUCACCCUCAGGCUUGCUAAACUGUGAGCUCAGUAUCGUAGGGGCUGAGAUUUCUUCAUCUCCCUGAUGCAAGGGAUAGCUGGCUAGCUGCUGCCCCCUGACCGUGCCAAAAAUUCACCCUACUAAUUCUUUCUUACCCUGGAGACCAAGGGGAGGAUCCAUUCCCCGAUUGUGGCUCACACACUGUAUCCUAAAAAGGAGCACCAAUCCACAUUAGUGAACUGAAUUCAAGACUUAAAGUACUGUUGAUCUGAUGAUGAUGAGUUUGGGCAUCUUAAAGGCCAACUCCAAAUCUGCCUAUUAGCAGGAUCAUUGUAAUGGUUUCUUGGAGUGGGAGUUUCCUUGAAGCUCUAUCUUGCCCACCUCCAAAUCAUCUUGCUGUUAAACAACCUUCUUAAGUACCCUCACCAUGGUGCCUUUGCUCAGGAGCCCUUCACAUCUUUCUGUGUAUGUGUGCAGGAAGCCAGCUCCCCUGCUGGGUAAUCCUUGCUUAGUAGGCCCAUUCAGCUUGUGUCCCAGCAUGCAUACUGUUUCCAUCCUCCCCAGGGGUUCUCACCUGUGCUGGGCUCCCUCCUUCCCUUUUGCCUUUUCUCCUGCUGUUCUGCUCAUUUUAGAAAUUUCUCUGCUUUCUUCUUCCCUUAAACAAAUCCUCUUGAUCUCUGGAGGGAUAUUAUAAAUCUUGUCUCCUUCGGGAAGGCUUCCCAGGUUGAUCCCUGGCUGUACCAAACACUGGUUCUCUGAACUCUUAGAUCUGUGUUACACAACUGAAACUUUAAUUUAUACUGACUUGGAAGCUUCACUACUUCCUUGUGUGCCCUCUAUUGGGUCUUUUUACCCUGCUUCACUGGAAGUACCUGGAAGGCAGAAAUGAAAUGUUCAGUUAUUCAAUGGGACAGUUUGGAGUAUGGGAGAGACAACAGACAUGGGCACAGGAAACCAAAGAGCCUAGUUAUGCCAUUUCCUUCCUGUGGGAAUUUGGGGAAAUUACUUAUGUCUGCUGGAUUUCCUACCAGAAGCAUAAGCAUCCUACUUAAGGUAGAGACUGCCCUUUCUUAUCCCACAUGAUGCCCACAGCUCAGACCUAGGGGUAUUCACUAACCCUGCUUCUUUCUUUUACAACUAGGGUAAUCAUUGGGAUUAUAAUAAAUAUUCAGCUCUUCCCUUCUGGGCACAGUAUAGGAAUAUACUAGUGCUUGGUCAAUAAAAUGUGAGCAUGACUGACACUUGUCACUUCCCAGUGAAAGUGUCAACUAGAGCAUGUAUCAAUGUAUUCUCCUUUUCUCAUGGUAAUGGAGAAGUACAUUGUUCCAAAUGGUAUCCACUCCCUCAGUUUGGGUCCUUGAGUGAAGAUGUGAUGAUAUAACCAUAGCCUCUAUCCUAUCAAACAAGGUUAUGUAGUAUCAGAAAGAAACAAACCUUGGUUUUUCAAACCACUGAGAUUGUGUUUCCCCCCUCCACUAGCAGUGUAACUUACGGUGUCCUGUGUGACUUACCAUCUUCCUUAUUCUUUGCCCCUGUUUUUCUUCGUCUUUUUCCUGAUGUCCCUCAUCAUAAAGAGUAUCCUACAGGUGGGCAGCAAACUCUCCAUAAACAGUGCUAAGAGCAUGAUACUCUCAACAGUAGUGUCUCCAUCGAUUUCAGAACCAGGGAAUUCUCACUGCUUUUCUGGUGGGCAAACUUUGGAAGUGUCAGAGUAUUUGGGGUCAAGCCAAGGCUUGGACUUUGAUUUUGUAGGUGGUGAGUCAUUACUUCCCCAACAUAUCCUUCUAAUGUCCAAAUCAAAGUGCUACAGAAAUAUGUAGGAUAUUUAAAAUGUUAGAAGCAAUAAAAAAAAUCCUGUAGAAGAUUUGAAUUAAUAAGAACUCUUAUAGGCCUUUGUGAUUUUUUUUUUCCCACAUUACACCACUAAUAUAAUUUAAUCUAAGUUAUUGAAACCUUCAAGGAUUUCUUGUGGUAUCAGGAUCUGGCAGGGUGAGUUGUUGGUGAUAUACAGAACAGAUAAAGUUGAUUUUGUUUUAUCUACUAUGAGAGAUGUGAACAAACCCUUGCUCAGGAUCUCUGAAACGGAUGUCUGAGAGAUCUAUAGAAAACAAACAUCCUCAUGGAAUGAGCUCACAUUUCAUACGUUUUCACCCUUCACAGCCUCCAAACGUGCCUGCCCCACUGUGUCUGUAAUAAGGAUCUCUAAGAGAAAUUCCAAAGAGGAGGAGGGAGGAGCAUGACUUUGCAUCUAGACUGAGAAGAACAGUACUUAUAUAAUUUUGUUUUUCAGUCUUGGUUAACCCAGACUUUUCUUUAAUUAACAGACUUGGCCAAUGUCAUGUUGUUAUCUAACAGUGUGUCUAAGAAAUAAAAACACUUCUUUUUCUCACUAUGUGACAAGGUCCAGAUGUGCUCAGAUUAAGUGUAGAGUCCAAAUUCCAAGACAGGACUCAAGAUUUUGUUAAAAACUCCAUGAAAAAGGCAAGAGUGAGGGAAAGAAAUUUACAUGUUCCCCAACCACGAUGUUUGGUUGGAGAUGGGGGAAGGGACCAGCUGGAUGAAAGGCUCUACAGCUACUUCAAUCCCUGGAUGAUCAGGCAGAGAAAAGUCAGGCUGCAGGAUGGUAUAGCUGUGUCUAAAAAGGGGUUCCAGGCAAGUAUGGUUUCUAGUAAUAUUUUUUUUAUGGGAAACAAAACACCACAGAACGUAAAAUUUCUAGCAAACUUGCUUAUUUUGUAGCAGCAGUUGGACAAUCGAAUGUACUAGCCUCCUCAAUUCAGAUGCUAGAUAUGAAAAUUAAAGCUGUAAUUUUUUUAACUUAAAGAAUCCCUGGACACAGUGAUGCAAUAGCUGAUUUAUAGAUGUGAGGACUUCAAUAGCCAUGAUCUAAGAGAAUUACAGCAAUGUGACACACUGAAAUACGCCUUUAUCUCUCCAACUCAGCAUGCGUGAGCAUACUAAAUACACAGAUUCUUCAGUUUUACAGGAAAAUCAUGUGUGAAUACUGAGUGUAACAAGCUUUGGAAGACUGGUAAAUUCUGCACAGCAGAGUGUUUGCUAAUGAAAGCAUUUAGGAAAAACUAAAGUGGUAAGACAAAGUGAAUGAUUCUCCAUUUUUCAAAAUGAUAAAGCAGGGUCAGUUGACUUCAUACUUAUUUAUCCAGGUUGGAGAAGGGGAAAAACUGGGAUUGGGUUCAGGAGACACUGAACAAUCCCAGUUUGCCACCUUCAACCGUGUUACAUUAGGUGGGUAACUCAACUUCUCCGAGUUCCAGUUUCUAGAUCAGUGAAGCUACUUACAGAAGGUUGUUUGGGAAACAAAUAAUAUAAUUCAUUUGAAAAUGCUAAGUAAUUUGUAAAGAACAUCACAAAUAUGAGAAGUUAACGAGUGUUGUUACUUUUGCUCUUUUUGGCGAAAGGAUGACCAAAUAACUGGUAAGACAUAUUUUCUGUAUGUGUCUGUGAGGGUGUCUCCAGAAGAGAUUAGCUUUUUAAUCAGACUGAGUAAAAAAAUAUUUUUACCAAUAUGGGUGAGCAUCGUCCAAUCUUUAGAGGGACUGAAUUGAAUAGAAAGGUGGGAGGUCGGUAGAUUUUCUCUCUUGGUUUGAACUGAGAUAUCCAUCCUGUUCUCAGGCUGUGGACUCCAGUGAAUUCCACCGCUGGCUUUCCUGGUUCUUCAGCUUGAACAUGGCAGAUUGUGGGACUUGUGGGCCUCUAUGAUUGCAUGAGCCAAUUCCUGUAGUCAAUUUCUUAUUUAUGUAUACUUCUAUAUAUCCCAAUGGUUCUGUUUCUUUGGAGAACCCUGAUUAAUAGACUCAUGUGACAGAUGACCAUGAAAGACUCGAGAAUAUGGUUAGGGAGCCCUAAAGAUCAACUGAUCUCUAGGAAGUAUUACAAAAGGUAUUGGAAACCCUGCAGAACAUGCUUUCUCUAUGGCUGUGCUCGACCUGCUGCACUGGUUCUGUAUCUAAAAGAAAAAUUUCAGAUGAGUUGUAGGAAGCUUAGAGAGUGCGGGAGUGCUACAGGAACCAGAGGAUGGAGGCACUUGCAUAAGAAACCAAACCACCCAGGACAGGACUUUGGUCUGGGUUGGGGCAGCAGAGGAGCCCAGUGCAUGUGAUUGAAGUCUACAAAAACAAUGAGUAGUGUGAAUUUUAUUCACCUCGCUCCAUGUAAAUAUAGGGACAAUUUUAGAGUUUGAGAAAACUUUAGAGCCAACUGCUUGAAAUAUGUGCACUCAAAAAGGAUGAUGAACUUUCUGAUUCAGAGAUUUAUCCUAUCUUAUUAAUCUCCCUGCCAAAUUUUUUCUUUCCAGUCAACCCACCCUUCAUACUGUAACUCCAGAUAUACCUACAAAAUAUACAUCUGAUCACCCCAACCCCAUCUUUGAACUACACAUACCUCCACAUCAUAGACAUAAGACUGUACCAACAUUUUGCUCUAACUGUGACCAUAGCCAAUAGUUAUCUUAAAAUCUAACCUCCACUAUGGCCCUUGGAACUAAAGAACAGGAAAGAAAAGUCUUGAACUUCUCCUGGAAGGGCCAGUAUUUCCCUUCUUUUUCUUGUUAAUAGAUUGCAGAGUCAAUUCUGUCAUCAUCCUGAGGGUAUUGCUCUAGAGAAAGAGCCUGGGUGUCGGAGAAAUCCAGCUGUUUAUGCCAUCCCUUACCCGUUUCUUUGUUACCUUCCACUUGAGAGGAUUUUGUGGUUCAGUUUCUUAAGAUAGUUAGAAGCCUGUCUAGUUAUUGCCCUAGAAACUUGAGGACAUCACAUAACUACAGGGCCAUAGGUAUAUCAGGCUGAGAUUCAUCUAUGAUUCUGUUUCUCAUUUCAAAUUAGCUGUAGCCUUUUGAUAAACAGGCUCACCAGAGACUUGAACAAUGGACACCAGGUGACAGCAUUAUUCAAAUAACGAAUCGUCAUCAACGCUACAUGCCUCAAAUUUGCUGUGACACUUGAAAAUUAUGUGAGCCCCUGCCAUGUAAAAACAACUUAUUUUUCCAAGAGAAAUUAAAGCCUAACUGAAAAAAUCACAAGAUAUUAGAGAAAAUGCUUUCUAAAACUAGGUACAAAAAUGUCUUCUCUCUCCAUGUGCUACCUUACAUUGCUAUUGUCCCAAAGACUGGACCCUUAGGUUCUUGGUGAGAGCUGGUGUGAGCUAUGCCACUUGCUUCUUUCCCCGAACUUUGACUUCCUUCAGCUCUAAUGUUCUACAAGAUCUGAGCAAGUCUUGCUACUCCACUGUAGCCCUGAAUCUCUGCAAGUUAUAUUCAUGACAGCUUUUUCUCCCUCUACAGUCUAUUUUUAUUCUCCUCUGUCAAGAGCUUUCUUCUUUCAAGUAGGUUAAACCCACAACUCAAGUCUGCAACCCAGGUUAAACUUUUCCCUCAUCUCCUGUAUGUAGGGCCAAUACUUAUAUUUAUUGGGUUGGAAGGUCUUUUCUCUUCCCCAUGGUUUUGAACACAAAGAAAGCCUUUUUCUUUACAUUAUUUGUUUUCCUCGUUGAGUUUCUGAUACCUCAGUUCCAAAGCCCUAAGUGAUAGUUAAUCGUUUAAAUACUAAAUCUUGAAGACUCUCAUUUUAUUUUUGAGAUUUUUAAGCUGCCCUACUCACACACAUUGGUUGGCAAUUUCUUCUUUCACUGUGAUUGAAACUAUAUUUUGGGUCUCUGUGAUCCACAACCAUCAUUCAUUGUUCAUAUAUUGGUUGAAUUAACUUGAACACACAUAGUGCAGAGGUCCACAGAGGAGGCUGUACUAAGCUAUAAAAAUGUGUAGGUCAAUUUUGCCUCAGGUAUUUCCCUGAAACUGAAUACAAAAAUUUCAAAUAUGUAAAGGAAAACAAAUACAGGACUUAAAAUUCAUUCAUUCUUUCCUGCCAGUUCUAGCAUCAAAAAUCCCAAAGCCAGUAAGUACCAUGCAAUUGGAAUCUGUUAUUUCAAGCUGCCAAGUGGAAGGUAAAUUUCAGAGCAGUUGUUUCUUAGUUAUUUCAAGGGAUUGGGAGAGUUUAUAACAGCCUUGGAGACAUUGUGGCUAUGGAAGAGGUGUUGUAGGUGUUUGUUAUUUUAAUGUGGGACUACCAGGAACCCUAGGGUCCUGCAUAUUUUUAACUGGAACCUGCAUAUUUUUAACAUAUUUUAACAGCCAUGGAAAGUGAAGGCCAGUGGGGUGCUGCUGAAUCAUUGGGAUAAGAGUGCCUCCUGGAUCCCCUUGACUGACAGGUAGAAUAUGACUUCUCAAAAUAGUGCCUUUCCCAGCUCUCUUCCUGAGUGACCUUGGAAAUAAUCUGGAGCACAGCAGAACACAGGGACCCUUGUGUUUAUUUGCUGCAUUCAAUAGAGCACUGUUACUAUAGGUGGUACUGAAUGGGUCAAAUUUUCCAGAAGGACCAUCACCGGGGCAUACCCACACCUGCAACUCUAGAAUUCAGGCUUUAGCAGGAAGGUUCUGCCUAAUAGUCUUGGGGGUUGGAAGUGUCAACAUAUUAAAAGUCAAGUAUCCAAUAAAAUUGGUUAUCUUCGCUGGAAUGAACUAAAUUUAGCAUUUAUUUUGUCUGUUCAAGGCUGUUAGUGGGCUCAACUCAAGGCCUUUCAGAGAAUGAGGGCCAUAGAAGAAGAAACAGAUCCCUGAAGGUGAAAUUUCCCUCUUAAGGAAUGGACCCUAUUGCUAUCUUGGAUAUACCAGUCUUUCCCAAACAGGGCAGGUUUGAGGCAGAGCUAAUUAAUGCCCCUAAGUAGCCCCUAGGCUGCGAAUCAAGAAACUUGAUGAUUAAAUCUGUCCUUUCAGAAUGGGCCAAGAGUCCAAAUCAAUUGCACUAAUAAAGGAAUUGACUUUAGGGUUACCUGGGGUUCUAACCCCAGAACAACCCAUACCUUUCUUGACUAGACAGAAGUAGGUCCAGAAAGUCAGUCAAAUGGGUUUUAUAAUGCCUUUCUUCCUAGGACCUGAAAAAAUAAAAUAUGUAUCUGGUGGACGAGAAACCUGAAAAGGUAACUAAAAAGACAUGGGUAGGCCUGAUUUGAACAAAAUUAGGAGAGCGUGGUAUAAAAGCAAAAAUGUAGGGUGUUUUGAGGAGGAGAAAAUAUGUAGAAGGAUUCUGAGAGAUGGAGUGAAAAUGUUGUUUAGAAAUGUCAAUAAUAUAGUCACCUGGGUGACUAAGUGAGUUAAGCAUCAGUCUCUUGAUCUCAGCCUCCUAAGUUCAAGCCCCAUGUUGGGCUCCACUCUGGGUGUGAAACCUACUUUAAAAAAUGUCAAUUAAAUCUGGCAACAUGUACAUUUUUGGUGAUCUUGACAAGAGCAUUUCUAUUUGGAAGAACCCAAGAUGAUAACAGGGCAAGGUAUUAAUGUGAGAUAAGUAAGUAAAGGCAGUAUAUCUAGAAAACCAGAGCAUUUAGGUUUGGCCGUGAAAUGAAUAAGAGAAAUGGAAUGGUAGGUAACCUUAAUGGGGAGAUAAAAGAGAGAAUACCUUGAGAAGCAAUGAAGUAGAGAAGUGAGAGUCUUGACUGAAAAGAGAAGGAUGAAGAGUCCUAGAAUACUGGGACUUAAAAGCAAGUUCUCAGAGCAAAGUAUGGUGUACGUAGGAAAGUACUUCCAGGGAUCUUUGGGCCCCAGCAUGGCACAGUAGUAGUCCUGUCUGUAACUAGAAAGCAUGGACCACGUGCACCUGGGUAAUGAGCAUCUCAGCACUAACAUGUGCAAAGGUAGUCAAUAACCAAAUGAGUUUUAUAUACUUCCUGUUGCUGUGUAAGUACCCUAAUAUUUUUCAUAACAAAUGUUCAUGUUGGGAAUUCCCAAGGAUUAUUGAAGUUGAAUUUCUCAUUUGCUUGAGAGAUUGGAUAGAGGCAGAAAUAAUUUGGUAUCAUCCAAAUAAAUCUAAUUUUUGAGCACUUGUCUUAGUGGAUUUGGAGUCAUACUUGGUACUUUAUAAAGGAAAAGUCAAGCAUAAUGAGAAGUUACAGCAAAGAACCUGCUUUCCACUGGGUGGUCAAUGAAGACCUCUCUGGGAAAGUGACAUUGAAGCUGAGAAUUGAAGGACGCAAAGGAAUGAACCAACUAAAGAGGGGAGGAAAGAGUGAAAAUCCCUAAGACAGGAGGUAACUUGGUGUCUGCUAUGAUCUUCAAGAAGGUUAUUGUGAGUGGUACAUAAUAGACAAGUGGAAGAGUGUCCUGAUGUGAAGGAGGAGGUGUGCACAGGAAUCAGAUUACGUACAACUUUACAAUGAGAAGUAUAGGCCAUAUCUAAAAUGUUUCCUAGAAGAUUCAUGAAGAAUUGUUUGAUCAGAGACUAGUAAUAGGGUGUUCAUUUAGAAGGUUACUAGAACAAUAGUUCAGCGGAGAAAUGAUAGUUGCUUGCAGAAAUGAUACAAUGAUUUAAGGAGAUUCAGUAGAUUUAAGACCUAUCCCAACAAUGGCAUUGACUAUACUGAACUGAGGCAGAAGUUACCAAGUAUAGUUUCCAGGUUUCUAGAAAAUAAUGGAGAGUUAUUUUUAACUGUAAAAUGAAAAUUCAUAAGCAAAUAUAUAUGCUGAUUUAAAAAAUGUAAAUGAGAAGAGACACGGGUAAUGCAACAGAGAAUGGAUAACUGAAGAAAAAAAAUAUUGAAGACAGCAAGAAGUAGAAUAAUCCACAGGACAGGUUGAUAAAUGGUAUUUCAUGGGAAUGAGGAAAUUCUUUAUUUGUAACAGGACUGAAGAAGAAGAUGGCUUCAAGUAUGUUUAUAAAUUUGGUAAGGGAAUUUGAAGAUACAUGUGUGCUUGGCUUAUUUUUCCUAAUGAUGUAUGAGAGAAUUAGUGGGUCUGGAGGGUUGUGAGAGCAGUCUAGGGGAGAGGGAAGAAGGUACAAAGGACGGACUUUGGACAAAAGAAAGCAAGCUUACUGGAGAAAUUUGCUAGGGUUGCUAAUCAGUGUUGAGAGCCAAUCUAAGGUCUGUGUCCAUUAAUUUAAGGUUACAUUCAGUCACAGUGAUUAGAAGAUUUCCUUCAGCAAGGAUCAGAAAAUAAUGCUUUGGCCGCAUUUGUUUGCCUUUUUAGAAGAAACAUGAGUGAGCAGAAUAAUCCAGAAGAGUAGAGUGGAAAGUCUCCUAAGAAAAUGGAAACCAGAGUCAUCUGGGGAAUUUGGUUUUUUGGACACGUCGUCCUUUGUAGUUCUAAGAAAGGCAAGGGUGAUGGCAAGUGUGGGGAGUUUGUUAGUUUGAUAAAAUGAGGUAUUUGCUUGUGACAACUUCUAUUUUUCUUUAUGAAAGACUACAAAAAAAUUAACUGCCAGUGGGGAGUAGGUUUUUGGGGUAGGGAGAGAAGGAAAAGAAAUCUGAGGUUUGAGAAACUUACACCAUGUAAUUGGUAGUUCUCUUAAAUACGCUUCCAUUGUUUGAGCAUGUAAGAUAUUCCCUGUUUUCUGAUACUUAAAAGUGAUGUUGAACAGUCUUAGCAACAAAAUAAUUCUAUCUAUGGCCAUUUCCUUAGGAUAAAUGAUAAGAUUUAGAAAAAAAAUGUUUUCUACUUUUUGUACUUUUUCAUUCCUUAAAAAAUUACUUCUAAAUUUUUUUUUUAAAGAAAGCAUUCAUUGUUAAAAUUUAAUUAACAGAGAAAAUCUUAUAGUGAUGCCCUGGCUGAGAAUGCAGCAAAGGACAAGAUACACAGUCUGGUGUAAAUUACUGCGUUCGGUGUCACAUAGCUUUCAGUUCCUAAAAUUGAGGUAUCAACACCACUAGUGUUUUACAUGGAUUGUGUGUGGCUGUGUAUAGGAUAGAAUUCAGCGCAUAUAAUUCCGGG
Felis catus (domestic cat) is the source of this 15027-nucleotide RNA transcript. RefSeq lists it as uncharacterized. The transcript is spliced from 5 exons. Lineage: Eukaryota; Metazoa; Chordata; Mammalia; Carnivora; Felidae. The record is from RefSeq and is a predicted model, not a curated record.